RNAcentral lists this ribosomal RNA (401 nucleotides) under uncultured bacterium. Its description in RNAcentral is "bacterial SSU rRNA". It matches the Rfam family "Bacterial small subunit ribosomal RNA", at positions 11 to 416 of the family's 1533-position model. The record is from RNAcentral.
GUUUGAUCCUGGCUCAGAGCGAACGUUUGCGGCGGGGCCUAACACAUGCAAGUCGAACGGGCUAGCAAUAGUCAGUGGCGCACGGGUGCGUAACACGUGGGUAAUCAACCCUUCAGCUCGGGAUAACGCCUUGAAAGGGGCGCUAAUACCGGAUACGACGCGAGGAGCUUCGGCUGCUUGCGGGAAAGAUUCGCAAGGAUCUCUGAAGGACGAGCCUGCGGCCCAUCAGCUAGUUGGUGAGGUAAGAGCUCACCAAGGCGAAGACGGGUAGCUGGUCUGAGAGGAUGAUCAGCCACACUGGAACUGAGACACGGUCCAGACUCCUACGGGAGGCAGCAGUGGGGAAUAUUGCGCAAUGGGCGAAAGCCUGACGCAGCCACGCCGCGUGAGCGAUGAAGGCC